This 497-nucleotide ribosomal RNA is filed under the name uncultured bacterium. RNAcentral's name for it is "partial 16S ribosomal RNA". It matches the Rfam family "Bacterial small subunit ribosomal RNA", at positions 28 to 507 of the family's 1533-position model. The record is from RNAcentral.
GAUGAACGCUGGCGGCGUGCCUAAUACAUGCAAGUCGAGCGAACAGACGAGGAGCUUGCUCCUCUGACGUUAGCGGCGGACGGGUGAGUAACACGUGGAUAACCUACCUAUAAGACUGGGAUAACUUCGGGAAACCGGAGCUAAUACCGGAUAAUAUAUUGAACCGCAUGGUUCAAUAGUGAAAGACGGUUUUGCUGUCACUUAUAGAUGGAUCCGCGCCGCAUUAGCUAGUUGGUAAGGUAACGGCUUAGCAAGGCGACGAUGCGUAGCCGACCUGCUAGGGUGAUCGGCCACACGAGAACGGGAACACGGUCCAGAGGCCUGCGGGAGGCCGCAGUAGGGAAUGUUCCGCAAUGGGCGAAAGCCUGACGGAGCAACGCCGCGUGAGUGAUGAAGGUCUUGGGAUCGUAAAACUCUGUUAUUAGUGAAGAACAAAUGUGUAAGUAACUAUGCACGUCUUGACGGUACCUAAUCAGAAAGCCACGGCUAACUACGUG